RNAcentral lists this ribosomal RNA (305 nucleotides) under uncultured bacterium. RNAcentral's name for it is "bacterial SSU rRNA". It matches the Rfam family "Bacterial small subunit ribosomal RNA", at positions 334 to 636 of the family's 1533-position model. The record is from RNAcentral.
UUGUCCUACGGGAGGCAGCAGUGAGGAAUAUUGGUCAAUGGGCGGGAGCCUGAACCAGCCAAGUCGCGUGAGGGAAGACGGUCCUACGGAUUGUAAACCUCUUUUGCCGGGGAGCAACGGGGUCCUUGCGAGGGCCCGAUGAGGGUACCCGGAGAAAAAGCAUCGGCUAACUCCGUGCCAGCAGCCGCGGUAAUACGGAGGAUGCGAGCGUUAUCCGGAUUUAUUGGGUUUAAAGGGUGCGCAGGCGGAAGAUCAAGUCAGCGGUAAAAUUGAGAGGCUCAACCUCUUCGAGCCGUUGAAACUGG